Molecule: ribosomal RNA, 492 nt
Filed under: uncultured bacterium
Lineage: Bacteria
Description: partial 16S ribosomal RNA
Rfam family: Bacterial small subunit ribosomal RNA
Source: RNAcentral
AGUGAACGCUGGCGGUAGGCCUAACACAUGCAAGUCGAACGGCAGCACAGUAAGAGCUUGCUCUUACGGGUGGCGAGUGGCGGACGGGUGAGGAAUACAUCGGAAUCUACUUUUUCGUGGGGGAUAACGUAGGGAAACUUACGCUAAUACCGCAUACGACCUACGGGUGAAAGCAGGGGAUCUUCGGACCUUGCGCGAUUGAAUGAGCCGAUGUCGGAUUAGCUAGUUGGCGGGGUAAAGGCCCACCAAGGCGACGAUCCGUAGCUGGUCUGAGAGGCUGAUCAGCCACACUGGAACUGAGACACGGUCAAGACUCCUACGGGAGGCAGCAGUGGGGAAUAUUGGACAAUGGGCGCAAGCCUGAUCCAGCCAUACCGCGUGGGUGAAGAAGGCCUUCGGGUUGUAAAGCCCUUUUGUUGGGAAAGAAAAGCAGCAGGUUAAUACCCCGCUGUUCUGACGGUACCCAAAGAAUAAGCACCGGCUAACUUCGUG